UGUAUGANNNNNGWUUGGGWUGUUUUUGCUUGCUGGCUCCAUGCUUUUGCAUCGAACGGUUGGCAUGCAAUUCCGUUUCAAGUACACCUCGCUCUUAGCUGCGGUGGUGCGUGAUUCCGGUUCCUGUGUUGCCUACCUCUUGAAUGGUAUUCGUGUGGCUUGAUGGAUUAUGUCCAUCCAGUUCUCCUCCGAGGGGUUCUGGGGGAUUUCGAAGUGAUACAUGUGUUCCACGUUAGUUGUUUGUUAUUGAAGCAAUUGUGGYGCACAUGUAUUUGCUGCUCUCUCGGAUGCGGUGCAUGAGAUGAAACAUGGGAAAUUUGCCCAUUCAGUCUCUCAAAAAUCUUGGUUGCCUUGAAUGACACUUGCCUUUGUGCUUGCUUGCUCCCCACUCGYGGUUGCAUGCAGGCAUCGAUGAGCAAAGUUGUUAAUGGAUG
Molecule: unclassified non-coding RNA, 434 nt
Filed under: Lotus broussonetii
Lineage: Eukaryota; Viridiplantae; Streptophyta; Magnoliopsida; Fabales; Fabaceae
Description: partial external transcribed spacer
Source: RNAcentral